GGGUGCUAUCAUACCAGCACUAAUGCACCAGAUCCAAUUUGAACCUCGCAGUUAAGCGUGCUUGGGACAGAGUAGUACUAGGAUGGGGGACCUCGUUGGUAGACCUCGUGUUGCACCCC
RNAcentral lists this ribosomal RNA (119 nucleotides) under Beta vulgaris subsp. vulgaris (sugar beet). Lineage: Eukaryota; Viridiplantae; Streptophyta; Magnoliopsida; Caryophyllales; Amaranthaceae. The record is from RNAcentral.